RNAcentral lists this ribosomal RNA (429 nucleotides) under bacterium. Its description in RNAcentral is "partial 16S ribosomal RNA". It matches the Rfam family "Bacterial small subunit ribosomal RNA", at positions 355 to 776 of the family's 1533-position model. The record is from RNAcentral.
UAGGGAAUCUUCGGCAAUGGGGGCAACCCUGACCGAGCAACGCCGCGUGAGUGAAGAAGGUUUUCGGAUCGUACAGCUCUGUUGUAAGAGAAGAACGUGUGUGAGAGUGGAAAGUUCACACAGUGACGGUAACUUACCAGAAAGGGACGGCUAACUACGUGCCAGCAGCCGCGGUAAUACGUAGGUCCCGAGCGUUGUCCGGAUUUAUUGGGCGUAAAGCGAGAGCAGGCGGUUUGAUAAGUCUGAAGUUAAAGGCAGAGGGGUAACCAUUGUAAGCUAUGGAAACUGUUAAACUUGAGUGCAGAAGGAGAGAGUGGAAUUCCAUGUGUAGCGGUGAAAUGCGUAGUGAUAUGGAGGAACACCGGUGGCGAAAGCGGCUAUCUGGUCUGUAACUGACGCUGAGGCUCGAAAGCGUGGGGAGCAAACAGG